UGGGGAAUUUUGCGCAAUGGACGAAAGUCUGACGCAGCAACGCCGCGUGGGUGAUGAAGGUCUUCGGAUUGUAAAACCCUGUCGUCAGGGACGAAGGUAGGGGGUUUAAUACGCCCUUUGCUUGACGGUACCUGGAGAGGAAGCCCCGGCUAACUCUGUGCCAGCAGCCGCGGUAAUACAGAGGGGGCAAGCGUUAUUCGGAAUUAUUGGGCGUAAAGGGCGCGUAGGCGGUUUCUUAAGUAGGAUGUGUAAUCCCCGGGCUCAACCUGGGAACUGCAUCCUAGACUGGGAGACUAGAGUGCUGGAGAGGGUGGUAGAAUUCCACGUGUAGCGGUGAAAUGCGUAGAGAUGUGGAGGAAUACCAGUGGCGAAGGCGGCCACCUGGACAGUAACUGACGCUGAGGCGCGAAAGUGUGGGUAGCAAACAGG
RNAcentral lists this ribosomal RNA (429 nucleotides) under uncultured bacterium. RNAcentral describes it as "bacterial SSU rRNA". It matches the Rfam family "Bacterial small subunit ribosomal RNA", at positions 355 to 776 of the family's 1533-position model. The record is from RNAcentral.